CUGCUGCCUUCCGUAGGAGUCUGGUCCGUGUCUCAGUACCAGUGUGGGGGACCUUCCUCUCAGAACCCCUACGCAUCGUCGCCUUGGUGGGCCGUUACCCCGCCAACUAGCUAAUGCGCCGCAUGCCCAUCCUCCGCCGGAAUCGCUUCCUUUUAACACCCGUGGGAUGCCCCCACAGAUGUACCCACGCGGUAUUAGUCCGGAUUUCUCCGGGUUAUCCCCCUGCGGAGGGCAGGUUGCAUACGUGUUACUCACCCGUGCGCCGGUCGCCGG
This 273-nucleotide ribosomal RNA is filed under the name uncultured bacterium. RNAcentral's name for it is "partial 16S ribosomal RNA". The record is from RNAcentral.